GACAGAGGGUGCAAACGUUGUUCGGAAUUACUGGGCGUAAAGCGCGUGUAGGCGGCCCUGCAAGUCGGGUGUGAAAUCCCACGGCUCAACCGUGGAAGUGCACUCGAAACUGCAGGGCUAGAGUCCUGGAGAGGAAGGUGGAAUGCUUGGUGUAGAGGUGAAAUUCGUAGAUAUCAAGCGGAACACCGGUGGCGAAGGCGGCCUUCUGGACAGUGACUGACGCUGAGACGCGAAGGCGUGGGGAGCGAACAGG
RNAcentral lists this ribosomal RNA (253 nucleotides) under uncultured bacterium. Its description in RNAcentral is "partial 16S ribosomal RNA". It matches the Rfam family "Bacterial small subunit ribosomal RNA", at positions 524 to 776 of the family's 1533-position model. The record is from RNAcentral.